Molecule: ribosomal RNA, 332 nt
Filed under: uncultured bacterium
Lineage: Bacteria
Description: bacterial SSU rRNA
Rfam family: Bacterial small subunit ribosomal RNA
Source: RNAcentral
CAUGCAGGCGGUCGGACGCGUUUUGUGUGACAGCGGGUGGCUUACCUACCCGAGGAUACGAAAGACGGUUGGACUUGAGGGCUCGAGAGGGACACGGAAUUCCGGGUGGAGUGGUGAAAUGCGUAGAGAUCCGGAGGAACACCGAAGGCGAAGGCAGUGUCCUGGCGAGUGACUGACGCUGAGGUGCGAAAGCCAGGGGAGCGAACGGGAUUAGAUACCCCGGUAGUCCUGGCCGUAAACGAUGACCACCAGGUGUGGGAGGUAUCGACCCCUUCUGUGCCGGAGGAAACCCACUAAGUGGUCCGCCUGGGGAGUACGGUCGCAAGAUUAAA